GUAAAAUAUAAAUAUACAGAAUGGAAGCCCUUAAUAUGUAUCGCUGGGAGGGAGAAUGGAUUCAGGGGAUACGGUAAAAUAUAAAUAUACAGAAUGGAAGCCAUUAAUAUGUAUCGCUGGGAGGGAGAAUGGAUUCAGGGGAUACGGUAAAAUCUAAAUAUACAGAAUGGAAGCCAUUAAUAUGUAUCGCUCGGAGGGAGAAUGGAUUCAGGGGAUACGGUAAAAUCUAAAUAUA
Molecule: non-coding RNA, 235 nt
Organism: Pelobates cultripes (western spadefoot toad)
Lineage: Eukaryota; Metazoa; Chordata; Amphibia; Anura; Pelobatidae
Source: the annotation of a GenBank genome assembly